This 77-nucleotide transfer RNA is filed under the name Bacteroidetes bacterium GWE2_42_42. RNAcentral's name for it is "tRNA-Met". It matches the Rfam family "tRNA". Rfam says of the family: Transfer RNA (tRNA) molecules are approximately 80 nucleotides in length. Their secondary structure includes four short double-helical elements and three loops (D, anti-codon, and T loops). The record is from RNAcentral. RNAcentral also lists the same sequence under 3 other names. Lineage: Bacteria; Pseudomonadati; Bacteroidota.
GGCGGGGUAGCUCAGGUGGUUAGAGCGACGGAUUCAUAACCCGUAGGUCACGAGUUCAACUCUCGUCCCCGCUACAA